UGGAUUUUAAACUUAUUUAAGUUAUGAAAUGGGCUACAUCAAAAACUCACCCAAAAACUAACUUGCAAACACUCUUAUUAGAUGAACAAAAGCAGAGACGAAUAGAAACAUGAAAUAUGUACAACACAAAAAAUAAAAUAAGAGAAACUAGUAUGGUAUUACUUGAUCCAAGACCAACUUUAAAGACCGAAUUGGAUAGUACUCAAUCCUUUCAAUAUUCAUGGCCCGUUUAUUUUCGACACAUGUAUUAAGGAGAGUUAUAUUAAAAGAAAAAUUAUAUGACACACAUGUUUAAUGCCAUUAUUAAUUUAUUUUAAAUAUUGUUAAUAAAGGAACCCUCUCUUCCUCCAAUAUUAUGUUGCCGUCGCCGCUCUCAACACUGGCGAGGCCGGCGCCACCGCCUCCCCUUCGUUUGUACUAGUCGUCUCCCUCCAUCCUACACACCAUCAUUCAAACAACCAACAAUUCUCGUAAUAAAAAGACCCAAAAACGAAAAUAACAAUUAAAAAAAAUAAGUCUUUCAACAAAACUAAAAACACACUAGUUGAGAGAAAUUAACAUAGACGAGGGAUGAAAUGCAGAAAAGUACAAGAUAGAAAUCUUUCAACAAAAUUAAAAGUAAAGAGAAAUUUUGAAAGGCUCAUCCGGUGAAAUUAGAGGCAACGAGUCCGGUGAGCCCUAAUUUCUAGCUAGGGUGGAGGCAAGCGAUACAUUGGAGAAAAAGAGAGGCACCAAGAACAGUAGAGAGGGGAAGCGGCCGACAACGAGAAGCAUGUAGGAAGAGAGCGGUGAAUGAGAGAGAAGACAAUGGAGGAGAGACGAGAACAGUGGAUGAGAAGGGAGGCGGUAGAGGAGAGAGAGCGAGUGUGCAAAGUGACAGGUGGAUUAAGUGAAUGCUAAGCAAACCCUAAUUAUUACCUAAAAUAGAAAUAGAUCAUGAAUAUUAAGACAACUUAAACAAAAAAACAAACCAUAAAUAUUAGGACGGAGGAAGUAUAAAAUUUGAGACUUGUUCGAUUAUCUGUUGUUUCGAUUAUCAACCUUAUUAGAUAUUACUCCUUCCGUCCGCCAAAAGUAGACCACUUUGGCUGGGCACGAGAUUUAAUAAAAUUGGUGAUAAUUUUGAUGUAGUGGAGAAAUGGUCCCACCAUUGUAUGAGAUGUGUGGUUGAGAUUGAAUUUGAGGUGAUUUUUUUGUAAAUAAAAAGUGUUUGUAAGGAUAAAAGAUUAAAGUGGAUGGUGAGACCAUUUCUAUAAAAAGACAGUGGUAUACUUUUUGCGGACGCCCGAUAUAAUAAAAGUGGUCCACUUUUGGCGGACGGAAGGAGUAGUAAUUUUUUGCUUGGGACUCGUACAUGAUCAUUAAGUUUUAUUAGGUAUUUAGACUAAACAAAGAAACUUCAAAUUUGAUUUACAAUUAAUUUUUUAAGAAAUUGUGAAAUUAAACCACACACUUGCUAAAAAACAAGUGUUAAUGCGUAAAAAAUACUCAUAUUUAAAACUUCUGAUUAAAAAUGUCAACUUUUAUAAAAAAAACUUGAUUCUAUGCCCAAAUUAAAGUGAAGAGUCGAAAAUUACCCUUGUAUGUUAAUGACUUUACAUCAUUUUUUGUGUAAUAUCUUACACUUUUUUUACAUAAAUGUGUAACAAAAGUGUAAGAAAAAAAUAGAUUGUUGUCGAAAAAGUAGGUUGUUGCCCGGGCAACAACCCACUUUUCUGACAACAAGUUAUUUUUGUCUUGCAAGUACAUUGAUUGAGACAUUAAGUGUAAUUUAGUCAAUUUGUGUAUAAACACAAUAAUUUUAUAAAGGUGGACAUUUUUCAUUACAACUUAACAAAAAUGAACAUUUUAAUUUUUUACUCAAAAAAUAAAGCAUGCUGGAGUAUUGUGUACUCGGCUUGAUUUAUGGUCUACAAAAAUGAUAAAUUAAGCUGCUAAUUACUCCCUUUUCAUAUCCUUGAAUAUACUCUUUUCGUCUUAAUUAUAUAAGCUGA
This 1994-nucleotide long non-coding RNA is filed under the name Salvia miltiorrhiza (redroot sage). RNAcentral's name for it is "long non-coding RNA (SMIL_LNC001384)". The record is from RNAcentral. Lineage: Eukaryota; Viridiplantae; Streptophyta; Magnoliopsida; Lamiales; Lamiaceae.